AAUACCAUUGUAUGUUGACUUACUUCGUUUCACAGAAUCCUUGACUGAACAGCACAUCCUGUUUUUCAUACUCAAUGAAUUAAUCAAUUGUUCAAGAGAUUAGUUUCUGGGAAAGUCGCAGUUCUGCACGGCACAUAUAUAACCGCAGCUACCUCAACUGAGCGGAAACAAAGCGGCGAGUGCUGCGAUAGCAUCAAGAGCUGUUGAAUUAACGGUGUCACAAAUUACUCAGAGCCCGAGAGAUUGAUUAUGGAAGGUGAAGAAAAGAGUAAGAAUACAGAUACAUCAACGAAAACUGACAAAUUAGAGGACAAGGAAUUCGAAGACGGCAAACCUUUUUUUCAACGUGAAAAAGUGAGGCGAGGCAGGAUGCCAUUUCCACCGCCGCCGUCUUCUGGCAGCAACCCCAAAAGCAAUACCUCAAGUAACUUUCAAGCCCAGAAGACAAACUGGAAAUGACUGCGUCCCGACGCUGUGGUUAUUUUCCUCUCUUUUAAUUUUGUUUCGUUUAGUAAUUUAGGUUGAAAUGAAUUCCGAUUUUUAGGAACUUCAAGUAUUAAAAGCACUUAGGUUUGCUAAAUAGGCACUAGAAGGGCUUUCCGCCCCCAAAUAUCAGUUGUGGUGGACAGAGAUCAUGAGCCGUCAUGAAAAAACGACAAAAACUGAAAGAGAUCUUAAAUGUUUGCUAUUUUGCUAAAGUUAAGCUAUGCGAAGUCACUGCUGACAAAGCACCUUGGACAGGAGGCUGGACAAGCACAUGAUACAUCGUUCUUAGUGAAUUUUAAAAUGCUUCUUGCUGGAAAAAUGAAAUGUAAACUCGCCAAUUUUGAUCGCAGUUGCUUUGAUCUUCAGAAAUUCUUCCUUACUAUGUUGUUGUAAUUUAUAGUCGUUUGAAUAUAUAACACAUCCUCAAAUUUGCAGAUUUGGAAAGAUCUUUGACCAUCUAUGACGGAAAGUUGUAAUAACAAAUAAAAUAAAAACUAUAAUUUGGUUAUUA
Orbicella faveolata is the source of this 997-nucleotide long non-coding RNA. RefSeq lists it as uncharacterized. Lineage: Eukaryota; Metazoa; Cnidaria; Anthozoa; Scleractinia; Merulinidae. The record is from RefSeq and is a predicted model, not a curated record.